CCUACGGGCGGCAGCAGUGGGGAAUAUUGCACAAUGGGGGAAACCCUGAUGCAGCGACGCCGCGUGAGUGAAGAAGUAUUUCGGUACGUAAAGCUCUAUCAGCAGGGAAGAAAAUGACGGUACCUGACUAAGAAGCCCCGGCUAACUACGUGCCAGCAGCCGCGGUAAUACGUAGGGGGCAAGCGUUAUCCGGAUUUACUGGGUGUAAAGGGAGCGUAGACGGCAGCGCAAGUCUGGAGUGAAAUCCCAUGGCUUAACCAUGGAACUGCUUUGGAAACUGUGCAGCUAGAGUGCAGGAGAGGUAAGCGGAAUUCCUAGUGUAGCGGUGAAAUGCGUAGAUAUUAGGAGGAACACCAGUGGCGAAGGCGGCUUACUGGACUGUAACUGACGUUGAGGCUCGAAAGCGUGGGGAGCAAACAGGAUUAGAUAACCCUGUAGUC
RNAcentral lists this ribosomal RNA (440 nucleotides) under uncultured bacterium. RNAcentral describes it as "partial 16S ribosomal RNA". It matches the Rfam family "Bacterial small subunit ribosomal RNA", at positions 338 to 795 of the family's 1533-position model. The record is from RNAcentral.